GUAAGGAAUAUUGGUCAAUGGGCGGAAGCCUGAACCAGCCAUGCCGCGUGCAGGACGACGGCCCUACGGGUUGUAAACUGCUUUUGCCCGGGAAUAACCCCCCGCUCUUGAGCGGGGCUGAACGUACCGGGAGAAUAAGGAUCGGCUAACUCCGUGCCAGCAGCCGCGGUAAUACGGAGGAUCCGAGCGUUAUCCGGAUUUAUUGGGUUUAAAGGGUGCGUAGGAGGCCGGUUAAGUCAGGGGUGAAAUACGGCAGCUCAACUGUCGCAGUGCCAUUGAUACUGACGGGCUUGAAUACCGGUGAAGGCGGCGGAAUGAGACAAGUAGCGGUGAAAUGCAUAGAUAUGUCUCAGAACCCCGAUUGCGAAGGCAGCUGCCUAACCGGCGAUUGACGCUGAUGCACGAAAGCGUGGGGAUCGAACAGGAUUAGAAACCCUUGUAGUCC
This 445-nucleotide ribosomal RNA is filed under the name uncultured bacterium. RNAcentral describes it as "partial 16S ribosomal RNA". It matches the Rfam family "Bacterial small subunit ribosomal RNA", at positions 354 to 796 of the family's 1533-position model. The record is from RNAcentral.